Molecule: transfer RNA, 83 nt
Filed under: Cordylochernes scorpioides
Lineage: Eukaryota; Metazoa; Arthropoda; Arachnida; Pseudoscorpiones; Chernetidae
Description: tRNA-Glu
Source: RNAcentral
UGUCCAAUGCGGGAAUCGAACCCGGGUCCUAGUGGUCGAAAACCAAACUGUUUACCAGCCUUCCACCGACCUCCCUGGUAGAC